RNAcentral lists this transfer RNA (56 nucleotides) under Trichinella pseudospiralis. RNAcentral describes it as "tRNA-Cys". The record is from RNAcentral. Lineage: Eukaryota; Metazoa; Nematoda; Enoplea; Trichinellida; Trichinellidae.
GGAAGAGUUAGUAUAAUUGAUUAUGUAAGAUUGCAAGUCUUAAGAUUGGUUCUUCU